AGAUGUUCAAGUAUCAGUAAAUUCUUCUGGUCUUGCUCCAAAGGGUGUAGGCUCAAGAGCCUGCAGAGAAGAUGAAUUAAUUUCUCAUUUCCAAGUGUAGAAGAUAUAGCAAAUUCAUCUUUGCUUCUUUCCUGAAAGGAUCAAUUGACACAGAGAGUCUUUUUUGCAGAAUGGAAGGACAAUUCAAUCUUUCAUCAGGGAAUAGAAUGUUCACAGCCCAGGAUGAUCGGUGGCCUUCUUACAAGAAGCUG
Molecule: non-coding RNA, 251 nt
Organism: Python bivittatus (Burmese python)
Lineage: Eukaryota; Metazoa; Chordata; Lepidosauria; Squamata; Pythonidae
Source: RefSeq, a predicted model, not a curated record